This 143-nucleotide ribosomal RNA is filed under the name Odoria alborubescens. Its description in RNAcentral is "partial 28S ribosomal RNA". It matches the Rfam family "Eukaryotic large subunit ribosomal RNA", at positions 1 to 140 of the family's 3401-position model. The record is from RNAcentral. Lineage: Eukaryota; Fungi; Basidiomycota; Agaricomycetes; Polyporales; Meruliaceae.
UCUGACCUCAAAUCAGGUAGGACUACCCGCUGAACUUAAGCAUAUCAAUAAGCGGAGGAAAAGAAACUAACAAGGAUUCCCCUAGUAACUGCGAGUGAAGCGGGAAGAGCUCAAAUUUAAAAUCUGGCAGUCUUUGGCUGUCC